Molecule: ribosomal RNA, 253 nt
Filed under: uncultured bacterium
Lineage: Bacteria
Description: partial 16S ribosomal RNA
Rfam family: Bacterial small subunit ribosomal RNA
Source: RNAcentral
UACGGAAGGUCCGGGCGUUAUCCGGAUUUAUUGGGUUUAAAGGGAGCGUAGGCCGGAGAUUAAGCGUGUUGUGAAAUGUAGACGCUCAACGUCUGCACUGCAGCGCGAACUGGUUUCCUUGAGUGCACACAAGGAUGCCGGAAUUCAUGGUGUAGCGGUGAAAUGCUCAGAUAUCAUGAAGAACUCCGAUUGCGAAGGCAGCUCACUGGAGCGCAACUGACGCUGAAGCUCGAAAGUGCGGGUAUCGAACAGC